UUAAAAUGAACAGAUAUGUGUUAAUAUUCACUUUGUACAUUUUAAGUUGACAUUAAUGUAGUUAUUCUAUCCGGAUUAAUUUGAUUUAUAAAUCAAAACCAUUAGUCAAACUAAUUUCCUUUUCAAGAUGCCUGCCUCAUGGCUGGUCCAUACGUUUCACAAAAUGUCAAA
Thalassophryne amazonica is the source of this 171-nucleotide long non-coding RNA. RefSeq lists it as uncharacterized. The transcript is spliced from 3 exons. The record is from RefSeq and is a predicted model, not a curated record. Lineage: Eukaryota; Metazoa; Chordata; Actinopteri; Batrachoidiformes; Batrachoididae.